This is a non-coding RNA of Macaca mulatta (Rhesus monkey), 401 nucleotides long. Lineage: Eukaryota; Metazoa; Chordata; Mammalia; Primates; Cercopithecidae. The record is from RefSeq and is a predicted model, not a curated record.
CGGGGACCCCCUCCCGCGCCUGCGACUCCGCCCGCCGGACGCCGUCUCCGGGGCAACCGAGCGCCAAAGUCCCCACUACCACCCGGGCGCCCUAAGGAGCGGGGGUGGACCCAGCCGUAUGGAAACAGAGCCGAGAGGAGCCCCUCCAGGUGUGAGCAGAACCUUGAAGGAGGCAGGGAGCAGCCACGUGACUCUGAGGAACAGCAUUUCCAGGAGGAAUUGUGAUUGUAUUUCUGGGAACGUAUCUUGGCAGCAUUGUUUUGGAAUGCUUAAAUAAAGGUAACAUUAGUAGAGGUAUAAACAUGAUGGAAACCUUCAACAGCAAAGAAAAUACAUGUUUUAAAACAAGAAAAUCAAUGAGUAAACAACCAAAAAAUAAACAGAUGAAUAAAGCAAGAAAA